Cajanus cajan (pigeon pea) is the source of this 1749-nucleotide non-coding RNA. The record is from RefSeq and is a predicted model, not a curated record. NCBI's taxonomy places the organism in Eukaryota, Viridiplantae, Streptophyta, Magnoliopsida, Fabales, Fabaceae.
ACUAAGUGACCGAUGUAAUAUUGACAAGCAUUCCUCCUACCCCGUGCGCGGGCAUAAGCCCUUUCCCCUGAAUCCUUUGGUUCGUGCAAGCAUCAUCUAGAAGCGUCUUUCCCUCAGAGAAGCCCUUUCCCCUGAAUCCUUUUGUUUCGUGCAAGCAUCAUCUAGAAGCGUCUUUCCCUCAGAGAAGCCCUUUCCCCUGAAUCCUUUUGUUUCGUGCAAGCAUCAUCUAGAAGCGUCUUUCCCUCAGAGAAGCCCUUUCCCCUGAAUCCUUUUGUUUCGUGCAAGCAUCAUCUAGAAGCGUCUUUCCCUCAGAGAAGCCCUUUCCCCUGAAUCCUUUUGUUUCGUGCAAGCAUCAUCUAGAAGCGUCUUUCCCUCAGAGAAGCCCUUUCCCCUGAAUCCUUUUGUUUCGUGCAAGCAUCAUCUAGAAGCGUCUUUCCCUCAGAGAAGCCCUUUCCCCUGAAUCCUUUUGUUUCGUGCAAGCAUCAUCUAGAAGCGUCUUUCCCUCAGAGAAGCAUUCGUUUGGUUAUUCUUUUGUUUCGUGCAAGGCCUUUCCCUCGAAGAAGCGUCUUUCGAAGCAUCGGAAACCUCAUUGUCUUGCUUUCGAAUAGCAUGUUUGUCUCAUCGUAACUUUGAUUAUGAAGCAAGACUCUUUGUUCUUAAGAAUGAACGCGGAAGAAUCAUUUAAUCUGCUGAGGAGGCGGUAGAUUUUCAGAAGAAAACAUUUGCAUUGAAUCAUUUCCUCUCAAAGCUAUCACAAUCUAAUCACAGCUCUACAUAUCUGAUAUUAGUCUUGAAGAAUUGAAGAAAAGAAAAUGAAAUUUGUACUUUCAUAAUUUGGUUCGUUUGAGUAGAAUUUUUUGAAUCAACACAGUGCAGCAGGAUAUAACAUCUACAUCACUUUAGUGUUGAGGUGGCCCGUGAAAUGGUUUGAUUCGCAUCAUAGUCCAAGGCUACACUACCUGGAUUUUCAUCCAAGGGGCUAUCCAUUGAAGAAGGGGAAUCACUACUAGAAAGGAGUGUCAAAUUGGCAGUUGAAGCCUGUGAUAGUUUCUGGAAUUCAGUCAAAAGAAAUCCUGGGAAUAGAUAUAGAAGAGCUUUGGUUGCAGCCUCCAUUGGAAGCUAUGGAGCUUACCUUGCUGAUGGCUCAGAAUACAGUGGUUGCUAUGGGCCAGAUGUUAAUUUAAAGAAGUUGAAGGAUUUUUAUCACGGCAGAUUGCAAGUUCUCGUUGAAGCUCAGGGAUAUCAAGCCAGACAACUUAUUACUCGAUAGAUAUGGACACUUUAAAUUGUCAGAUUUUGGACUUUGUAAACCAUUAGAUUGUAGUACACUUGAAGAAAAUGAUUUUUCUGUGGGUCAGAAUGUGAAUGGAUCUACACAAAAUGAAGAGCGCACAGCUCCCAAACGCUCACAACAAGAACAACUGCUACAUUGGCAAAUGAACAGGAGGACACUUGUGGUCACUCGGAGCUAUUAUGUACGAAAUGUUGGUGGGAUAUCCACCUUUUUAUUAUUAUGAUCCGAUGUUAACUUGUAGGAAGGUAAUCUUUCGAAUAGAAAUAUUUCUUGUGACUAAUGCUUGUUUGAUAUUCACUUUUGUUAUUAUGAUCAAUCUCUGCGGGACACUCUUAAAAUUUAUUUUGACUUUUGCUUUGCAUUUAUUUUGAACGUUUAACUAUAAGCUACUUUUCUGUCUGUCAGUCUGUCUCUUUUUUUGUAGUUUCUAUCAAAGUCUAUUUUCUAGUAUCAAA